UACGUAGGGUCCGAGCGUUGUCCGGAAUUAUUGGGCGUAAAGAGCGUGUAGGCGGCCUUACAGGUCCGUUGUGAAAACUCGAGGCUCAACCUCGAGACGCCGGUGGAAACCGUAAAGCUAGAGUCCGGAAGAGGAGAGUGGAAUUCCUGGUGUAGCGGUGAAAUGCGCAGAUAUCAGGAAGAACACCCGUGGCGAAGGCGGCUCUCUGGGACGGUACUGACGCUGAGACGCGAAAGCGUGGGGAGCGAACAGG
Molecule: ribosomal RNA, 253 nt
Filed under: uncultured bacterium
Lineage: Bacteria
Description: partial 16S ribosomal RNA
Rfam family: Bacterial small subunit ribosomal RNA
Source: RNAcentral